UUUUUAUUAUUAACAGGAACUGACCCCAAACACAAUAAUCAUAAAAGAUAACAAUUCCAGUUGUGCUUACAUAAAUAUAGCAAAGGCAAAAAAAAAUAUUUGAUAUGUCACUUCACGGUCGGUGCUGGAUCGGAUCAACCGGAGGCUCCUGCUACAAACCCUGACGACCAAUCAGGUGUGCGUGAGUGCGUGCGUGGCUGAUGGAGUGGCCCAACUCCUAGUGUUUUAUUUCCCCUUGUGUUUCAGAGUACAUCACGCCAAUCGGCAACACUCGUGUUCCACGGUUUAAGGAACCAUGUCUAUUGGAGUGCGACCUCUUUACCCUCCGAGUGGACUUCACUGUUUAACCACAUUCAGAACAUCCCUGGGCAUAAAGACCCCUCUUCCCCAAAGACAAAGCCUCUUCAAACAGAAUCCACAUCCAAUCAUGUGGGGGACUUGAUGAGGAUGGUGUUUGAGGACCCAGCACCAUUUGUGGAGUAGAUGAAAAAAUCCCCAACCCCAAGGAUCUGUGAUCCCAAUAUGACAGGCCGUGAAAAACAGGAAGUGUUUGCUGGCCACAAGUCGGGUUUCAGUCGAGGGGCAGUUAUGGAGCCAACACACUCCUGGUGGACCGGAGGACUGCAUCUGGUCUCCUUCGUCCUCGGACUCUCUCCGUACAUUUCCCUGUGAGGAAAAAGAAAAGCGUCUUUACGGACACUUGUUCAGAGGAGGUGGAGCCCAACCCGGGGCCCGGGCCCCUCCAGAGGGUCGCCACACAGACCUGACAGCUGCUGACGUCAUUAAUGUGACAGUAAAGUUCUGAUGCACAAAUAUCUGUGGUCAGUUGAACUUGUGUUUUGGGAUCUUUGGGUCUAAAAGGUCUUUUGAAUAAAACCUUAACGUGUAAA
This is a long non-coding RNA of Scophthalmus maximus (turbot), 890 nucleotides long. RefSeq lists it as uncharacterized. NCBI's taxonomy places the organism in Eukaryota, Metazoa, Chordata, Actinopteri, Pleuronectiformes, Scophthalmidae. The record is from RefSeq and is a predicted model, not a curated record. The transcript is spliced from 2 exons.